AACUGAUUGCGAAGGGGAUUAUCCCCGAAGAGUAUAUAUGAU
RNAcentral lists this non-coding RNA (42 nucleotides) under Trypanosoma brucei brucei. Lineage: Eukaryota; Euglenozoa; Kinetoplastea; Trypanosomatida; Trypanosomatidae. The record is from RNAcentral.